RNAcentral lists this ribosomal RNA (719 nucleotides) under uncultured bacterium. RNAcentral describes it as "bacterial SSU rRNA". It matches the Rfam family "Bacterial small subunit ribosomal RNA", at positions 60 to 769 of the family's 1533-position model. The record is from RNAcentral.
AGUCGAGGGGCAGCAUGAACUUAGCUUGCUAAGUUUGAUGGCGACCGGCGCACGGGUGAGUAACACGUAUCCAACCUGCCGAUGACUCGGGGAUAGCCUUUCGAAAGAAAGAUUAAUACCCGAUGGCAUAGUUCUUCCGCAUGGUAGGACUAUUAAAGAAUUUCGGUCAUCGAUGGGGAUGCGUUCCAUUAGCUUGUUGGCGGGGUAACGGCCCACCAAGGCAUCGAUGGAUAGGGGUUCUGAGAGGAAGGUCCCCCACAUUGGAACUGAGACACGGUCCAAACUCCUACGGGAGGCAGCAGUGAGGAAUAUUGGUCAAUGGGCGCUAGCCUGAACCAGCCAAGUAGCGUGAAGGAUGACUGCCCUAUGGGUUGUAAACUUCUUUUAUAUGGGAAUAAAGUGCAGUAUGUAUACUGCUUUGCAUGUACCUUAUGAAUAAGGAUCGGCUAACUCCGUGCCAGCAGCCGCGGUAAUACGUAGGGGGCAAGCGUUAUCCGGAAUUACUGGGUGUAAAGGGAGCGUAGACGGUUAAGUAAGUCUGGAGUGAAAGGCCGGGGCCCAACCCCGGGACUGCUCUGGAAACUAUUGAACUUGAGUGCAGGAGAGGUAAGCGGAAUUCCUAGUGUAGCGGUGAAAUGCGUAGAUAUUAGGAGGAACACCAGUGGCGAAGGCGGCCUGCUGGACGAUGACUGACGUUGAGGCUCGAAAGCGUGGGGAGC